AGAGUUUGAUCCUGGCUCAGAAUGAACGCUGGCGGCGUGCCUAAGACAUGCAAGUCGUACGCGAAAGUAGCAAUACGAGUAGAGUGGCGCACGGGUGAGUAAUAAUUAGGUAACAUACCUUUUCGCUGGGGAUAACAAAGGGAAACUUUUGCUAAUACCGAAUAAUUCGUGAAGUGCUUUGGCAUUUUUCGAUAAAGCCGUAAGGCGCGAAGAGAGUGGCUUAAUUCCCAUUAGCUAGUUGGUGUAGGUAAAAGCUCACCAAGGCAACGAUGGGUAGCUGGUCUGAGAGGAUGAUCAGCCACACUGGAACUGAAAUACGGUCCAGACUCCUACGGGAGGCAGCAGUUAGGAAUUUUGCGCAAUGGACGAAAGUCUGACGCAGCAACGCCGCGUGAGGGAUGAAGGCCUUCGGGUUGUAAACCUCUUUUAGCUGGGAAGAAAACAAUGACGGUACCAGCAGAAAAAGCACCGGCUAACCCUGUGCCAGCAGCCGCGGUAAUACAGGGGGUGCGAGCGUUAUUCGGAAUUAUUGGGCGUAAAGAGCGCGUAGGUGGUUUGGUAAGUUUGAUGUGAAAUCCCUGGGCUCAAUCCAGGAAGUGCAUUGAAUACUGCCGGACUAGAGUGCAGGAGAGGAAAGCGGAAUUCCAGGUGUAGAGGUGAAAUUCGUAGAUAUCUGGAGGAACAACAGAGGCGAAGGCGGCUUUCUGGACUGCAACUGACACUGAGGCGCGAAAGCGUGGGGAGCAAACAGGAUUAGAUACCCCGGUAGUCC
Molecule: ribosomal RNA, 772 nt
Filed under: uncultured soil bacterium
Lineage: Bacteria
Description: bacterial SSU rRNA
Rfam family: Bacterial small subunit ribosomal RNA
Source: RNAcentral